This 218-nucleotide ribosomal RNA is filed under the name Campylobacter jejuni. RNAcentral describes it as "partial 23S ribosomal RNA". It matches the Rfam family "Bacterial large subunit ribosomal RNA", at positions 2305 to 2522 of the family's 2925-position model. The record is from RNAcentral. Lineage: Bacteria; Pseudomonadati; Campylobacterota; Epsilonproteobacteria; Campylobacterales; Campylobacteraceae.
GGCUUACAAAGGUUGGCUCAGAACGGUUGGAAAUCGUUCGUAGAGUAUAAAGGUAUAAGCCAGCUUAACUGCAAGACAUACAAGUCAAGCAGAGACGAAAGUCGGUCUUAGGGAUCCGGUGGUUCUGUGUGGAAGGGCCAUCGCUCAAAGGAUAAAAGGUACCCCGGGGAUAACAGGCUGAUCUCCCCCAAGAGCUCACAUCGACGGGGAGGUUUGGC